UUCACAAGUGUCACCAUGUCUUGUUUACAUUUGGCGGAGGAGGUCUGACACCCGCUCACACAUCGCUCCAGACCUCCGUGUUCACUUCUUAAGCGUUUAACAGCGCAUGUGAGGAAGCUUCAAGGACCAACAACACAUCUCAGUAUGACUAGUUCAGAGUCAACUACAGUACACAGACACUCCAGGCUCCUAUAUGAUGCCAUUAAAGGCAACUGGUUAAACAUUGCUGACCUGUGGGAGAUGACGCAGGCUAAAAAGAGACACUUUCUACCUUAAUGCUGUAUUUACGAGUUACACGAGGAGGAGCCUCGGCUGUAAGUACUU
Long non-coding RNA from Homarus americanus (American lobster), 324 nucleotides. RefSeq lists it as uncharacterized. The record is from RefSeq and is a predicted model, not a curated record. The transcript is spliced from 3 exons. Lineage: Eukaryota; Metazoa; Arthropoda; Malacostraca; Decapoda; Nephropidae.